CCUACGGGAGGCAGCAGUGGGGAAUAUUGCACAAUGGGGGAAACCCUGAAGCAGCAACGCCGCGUGGAGGAUGAAGGUUUUCGGAUUGUAACCUCCUUUUGUUAGAGAAGAUAAUGACGGUAUCUAACGAAUAAGCACCGGCUAACUACGUGCCAGCAGCCGCGGUAAUACGGAGGGUGCAAGCGUUACUCGGAUUCACUGGGCGUAAAGAGCGCGUAGGCGGGAUAGCAAGUCAGAUGUGAAAUCCUAGGGCUUAACCAUAGAACUGCAUUUGAAACUGUUAUUCUAGAGUAUGGGAGAGGAAGGUGGAAUUCGUGGUGUAGGGGUAAAAUCCGUAGAGAUCAAGAGGAAUACUCAUUGCGAAGGCGACCUGCUAGAACAUAACUGACGCUGAUGCGCGAAAGCGUGGGGAGCAAACAGGAUUAGAUACCCCAGUAGUC
This 440-nucleotide ribosomal RNA is filed under the name uncultured bacterium. RNAcentral describes it as "partial 16S ribosomal RNA". It matches the Rfam family "Bacterial small subunit ribosomal RNA", at positions 338 to 795 of the family's 1533-position model. The record is from RNAcentral.